AAAAAGGCAAACCAUAGAUUUUCGUGUCCAACUUUAACUGUCCGUCUUAUAUGAAAUUUUUUUAUAAUUCGUAUUUUCAUUGUUGCUAGAUGAUAAAACAUGAUUAAUAUUUUAUACGUGACUUGUCUUUUUAAUUUUUUUCGUAAUUUUUUCAAAUAAGACGAACGGUCAAACAUUGGACACGAAAACCAGGGUUUCUUUUUUU
This is a microRNA precursor of Oryza sativa Japonica Group (Japanese rice), 205 nucleotides long. It matches the Rfam family "MIR812 microRNA precursor family". The record is from Rfam. NCBI's taxonomy places the organism in Eukaryota, Viridiplantae, Streptophyta, Magnoliopsida, Poales, Poaceae.